RNAcentral lists this ribosomal RNA (465 nucleotides) under uncultured bacterium. RNAcentral's name for it is "partial 16S ribosomal RNA". It matches the Rfam family "Bacterial small subunit ribosomal RNA", at positions 29 to 507 of the family's 1533-position model. The record is from RNAcentral.
AAUGAACGUUGGCGGCGUGGAUUAGGCAUGCAAGUCGAGCGAGAACCCCGCAAGGGGGGACAGCGGCGAAAGGGACAGUAAUGUGUAGAUUAUCUGCCCUCAGGUCCGGGAUAGCUGCGGGAAACUGCAGGUAAUACCGGAUAACAUCUCCGGAUCAAAGGUGUGAUUCCGCCUGAGGAUGAGUCUGCAUCCUAUUAGCUAGUUGGUGGGGUAAUGGCCUACCAAGGCAUUGAUGGGUAGCAGGUGUGAGAGCACGACCUGCGUCAUUGGGACUGAGACACUGCCCAGACACCUACGGGUGGCUGCAGUCGAGAAUCGUCGGCAAUGGGCGCAAGCCUGACCGAGCGACGCCGCGUGUGGGAUGAAGGCCGUCUGGUUGUAAACCACUGUCAGAGGGGAUGAAAUGCAGGUGGGUUCUCCCAUCUGUUUGACAUAGCCUCAGAGGAAGGACGGGCUAAGUUCGUG